Molecule: ribosomal RNA, 253 nt
Filed under: uncultured bacterium
Lineage: Bacteria
Description: partial 16S ribosomal RNA
Rfam family: Bacterial small subunit ribosomal RNA
Source: RNAcentral
GACAGAGGUCCCGAGCGUUAGACGGAAUCACUGGGCUUAAAGCGUGUGUAGGCGGAAGGGUAAGUACCUUGUGAAAUCCCACGGCUCAACCGUGGAACUGCUUGGUAUACUGCUUUUCUUGAGCCACUUAGGGGCAACCGGAACAAAUGGUGGAGCGGUGAAAUGCGUAGAUAUCAUUUGGAACGCCAAUGGUGAAAACAGGUAGCUGGGGCUGUGCUGACGCUGAGACACGAAAGCCAGGGGAGCAAACGGG